AUAAACGCUGGCGGCGUGCCUUAGGCAUGCAAGUCGAGCGGGCCCCGCAAGGGGCAAGCGGCAGACGGGUGAGUAACGGUAAGGAAUCUAUCUUAAAGUGAAGGACAUCUCGUCGAAAGACGGGGUAAUCCUGCAUGUGGUCGUAAGACUAAAGGGCAUAACUGCCCGCUUUGAGAGGAGCCUUACUCCUAUCAGCUAGUUGGUGGGGUAAAAGCCUACCAAGGCUAUGACGGGUAACUGGUGUGAGAGCACGACCAGGCACAAUGGCACUGAGAUACGGGCCAUACACCUACGGGUGGCAGCAACCGGGAAUUGUCGACAAUGGACGAAAGUCUGAUCGCGCGACGCCGCGUGAGGGAUGAAGCCUUUCGGGGUGUAAACCUCUUUUGCCAAGACAUCGAGUUUUGGCGAAUAAGCAUCUACUAACUACGU
This 432-nucleotide ribosomal RNA is filed under the name uncultured bacterium. RNAcentral describes it as "bacterial SSU rRNA". It matches the Rfam family "Bacterial small subunit ribosomal RNA", at positions 29 to 506 of the family's 1533-position model. The record is from RNAcentral.